GAUGAACGCUGACAGAAUGCUUAACACAUGCAAGUCAACUUGAACUUCGGUUUGGGUGGCGGACGGGUGAGUCACGCGUAAAGAACUUGCCUCACAGAUAGGGACAACAUUUGGAAACGAAUGCUAAUACCUGAUAUUAUGAUUAUAUGGCAUCGUAUAAUUAUGAAAGCUAUAUGCGCUGUGAGAGAGCUUUGCGUCCCAUUAGCUAGUUGGAGAGGUAACGGCUCACCAAGGCGAUGAUGGGUAGCCGGCCUGAGAGGGUGAUCGGCCACAAGGGGACUGAGACACGGCCCUUACUCCUACGGGAGGCAGCAGAGGGGAAUAAUGGACAAUGGACCAAGAGUCUGAUCCAGCAAUUCUGUGUGCACGAUGAAGUUUUUCGGAAUGUAAAGUGCUUUCAGUUGGGAAGAAAAAAAUGACGGUACCAACAGAAGAAGUGACGGCUAAAUACGUG
This 454-nucleotide ribosomal RNA is filed under the name uncultured bacterium. RNAcentral's name for it is "partial 16S ribosomal RNA". It matches the Rfam family "Bacterial small subunit ribosomal RNA", at positions 28 to 507 of the family's 1533-position model. The record is from RNAcentral.